UACCAGCUCUCCGAGUGGUGUGGAUGUUUAUUGGGCCUAAAGCAUCCGUAGCUGGCUGGGCAAGUCCCCUGUUAAAUCCACCGAUUUAAUCGUUGGUGUGCGGGGGAUACUGUUCGGCUAGGGGACGGGAGAGGCCGACGGUAUUUUCGGGGUAGGGGUGAAAUCCUAUAAUCCCGGGAAGACCACCAGUGGCGAAGGCUGUCGGCUAGAACGCGCCCGACGGUGAGGGAUGAAAGCUGGGGGAGCGAACCGGAUUAGAUACCCGGGUAGUCCCAGCUGUAAACGAUGCAGGCUAGGUGUUUGGGCGGCCACGUGCCGCUCUAGUGCCGCAGAGAAGUCGUUAAGCCUGCCGCCUGGGGAGUACGGCCGCAAGGCUGAAACUUAAAGGAGUUGGCGGGGAGCACCACAAGGCGUGAAGCUUGCGGUUC
This 428-nucleotide ribosomal RNA is filed under the name uncultured archaeon. Its description in RNAcentral is "bacterial SSU rRNA". It matches the Rfam family "Archaeal small subunit ribosomal RNA", at positions 474 to 903 of the family's 1478-position model. The record is from RNAcentral.